Engraulis encrasicolus (European anchovy) is the source of this 1242-nucleotide long non-coding RNA. RefSeq lists it as uncharacterized. The record is from RefSeq and is a predicted model, not a curated record. The transcript is spliced from 7 exons. Lineage: Eukaryota; Metazoa; Chordata; Actinopteri; Clupeiformes; Engraulidae.
AAAACGGCUAGUAGACUACCAACGUCCAGAAGAAAGGACACCGGAUGGCAUGUGAAAGCAUUGUUUAGGUGGACUUCUCUCCUCUGACCGGUUACCAAGACAGCUGGGUGUGUAGGAAACUGGAACUAAGUCACUGAAGAAGUAAACCGAUGAAAACCGAUUUGGAUUGUCUGAGAGAUCUGUAGGGCACAAGUAAGAGGAGAAGAAUGCUGCUCAGCUGGGUCGGCGUCGGCCACACUACUUAUUCAAGAAGCCCUUGGAUAUCAUUGGCAUGUAUGAAGCACAGUCAUUCCGGUAGUCCGUUCCUCGAUGGACGUGAUGACCUGGCACCAAAACCGCUUAAUGUGUACGGAGCUGUGUCUGCAUCGAGGGAAGAACGCGGCACUGAAAUGACACAAAUGAAAGAAGAUUACUUCUGCUCUGCUGGGUCUGUGACACUAUUUAUCCGAGGAGUCCUCAAACAUCAGGAUGUAGGAAGACACAAGUAAAAGGAGAAGAAUGCUGCUCAGCUGGGUCGGCGGCCACACUACUUAUUCAAGAAGCUCUUGGAUAUCAUCAGCAUGUAUGAAACUUGUGGUGAGAUGCCAAGAGCUGCCAUGAGGGAUAUGCAACCUGCAGCUUCACCGUGCUUUUGGGAGGUCAUCUACUACGUGAACCUUAAUAUCUACAAGCCAGCUACUUUAAAUCCUUGAAAGGGUAGUGAUGUCAAUCAAACCAGAUCACGAGACAAGGUCCUGAGGUACAAACUGUCAAUAUAAUUGUGACAUCCCUGUCAGUUCUUUUGGACUGGAUACAUGCUGUGUUUGAAAUGUAUUAUUUGGAUAACCACCCAUCAGGGAAUACCUUGUUUGUUAAUGACAGAUGGACCUGCCAUGGACAUGUAGUGCACACUUGUGAUGUUUUUUUUAUUUUAACGUUUUCUAUGUUUUUUCAAUGUUUUUUUAUUUAUGUUCUGUUAUAUGCUGGUUAUGUAAGUACUGUAUGGAAUGUAGUGACUGUAGAGACCAAGACAAAUUUCAACCUGGGGACAAUUAAGUUCACUCCACUCUGUUAGCGCAGUUAUGGAUGCACUGUAAAGUUUGUAAUUAACAAAAAGUACGGUGAGAAGCCUGUUUGUGCAGAUGGACCUGCUGGCGGGUCUGUUUACUCAUAGCUAAAAAGCAACAUAUUCUCUGUGCAAAGCACAUGGGCUCUUCGCAAAGGGGUUAAACAUUUUAAUGUGCUGUUUUACAGUGUGCUAUA